This 590-nucleotide ribosomal RNA is filed under the name Carabus lusitanicus latus. Its description in RNAcentral is "partial large subunit ribosomal RNA". It matches the Rfam family "Bacterial large subunit ribosomal RNA", at positions 1921 to 2748 of the family's 2925-position model. The record is from RNAcentral. Lineage: Eukaryota; Metazoa; Arthropoda; Insecta; Coleoptera; Carabidae.
UUUUAAAUGGCCGCAGUAUUUUGACUGUGCAAAGGUAGCAUAAUCAUUAGUUUUUUAAUUAAAAGCUUGUAUGAAAGGCUGGACGAGGUAAAAUCUGUCUCUAUUUAAAUUAUUGUAGAAUUUAACUUUUAAGUUAAAAGGCUUAAAUAUUAUUAAAAGACGAGAAGACCCUAUAGAUCUUUAUAGUUUAUUAAAUUAAAUUAAUUUAGAAAUAUUAAUAUUUUAUUUAAUUAAGUUAUUUUAUUGGGGUAAUAAAAAGAUUGAAUUAAUUCUUUUUUAUAAUAAACAUUAAUUUAUGAAUAUUAAUGAUCCAGUUUUACUGAUUAUAAGAUUAAGUUACCUUAGGGAUAACAGCGUAAUUUUUUUAGAGAGUUCAUAUCGAUAAAAAAGUUUGCGACCUCGAUGUUGGAUUAAAGAUUAUUUUAGGUGUAGAAGCUUAAUAAUUUUGGUCUGUUCGACCAUUAAAUCUUUACAUGAUCUGAGUUCAGACCGGCGUAAGCCAGGUCGGUUUCUAUCUUUAAUAAAAUAAAAUAUUUUAGUACGAAAGGACCAAAUAUUUGAUAUAUUUAUAUUUAAUUUAUUGAAUAUUA